UCCCAUCGGCGAGGCCAAGGUGGGAGACGGUGGAGGGCGAGGUCGGCUACAGCGUGUUCCUGGAGGCGCUGCUGCAGGACCGAUCCCUGCGCCAGGAGACCGUCUUCGAGUGUGUGCUGUCCAUCCCCGACACCGAGUACCAAGUGCGAAGGAAGAUCAUCUACUUCCCCGGUUACGCGGCACUUGGGAGUUACGGUGGCGCAACAGUGAGCCCGCCGCUGCCUCUCUUCCUUCUUCUGCUGCCGUCCCUGCUCCUGCUGGCGCCCUCCCUCCGCGGGCCCUUGCUCCUGCCGACCGCCCGCUGACCGUAAGGAGGCCAGGGUCGUGGUGACGCCCAGCGACCCUCUACGACCGGCCCUUCAGCGGCCCUUCAGCGCGGACUUCAGCGGCCCUUCAGCGCGGACUUCAGCGCGGACCUUCCCCGUGUGUUCCUCCGCGCGCGAGCAUUCCGCCUGAUCUGUCCUGGGAAAAGAUGUCGCUUCGCCGAUCGAGUUACGCGAUUGUUGAUUAUUUCGUUUGUGGGGAAUGUUUAAAAAAAAAUGCAUUUCAGUUCUUGGAAUGCUGUGAGUUUGGACCAAAAAAAAAAUCAGAUAGAAAAGAAAAGAAAAAAAAAAAGAACGAAGGGAGAGACGUUGAUGCCUCGUAACAACCCAGUGAUGACUGUCCUCCGCGAACUCAAGUAGUUACAUGACAGGAAUUUUGAGGUUAGAAUAACUCCUUUGAGUGAAGACAUGAUUUCUUAGUCUCUUUCCAUCAUUAUUUUACUUGAAAUUUUCCUGUUGCUUUUUUUUUUUCUCUCAGCAAUCAAUCAAAUCAAUCAAACAGCUGUAGAUUCUGUCUAGUUAUCGAGUAUUUUGGUGUCGUGUGUAAAAUAUAUGUAUGAAGCUUAUUCGCACGAAACUUUUUGAUUUCACAUCUCGGAAAAGCAGAACUGAAAUCGAACACUUAGGGUUCAGAAUAGCAGCAGCAGAGAGCGCGCUGUAGUUGUCUUGGCUUCUUGUGUUCCCCGUAACCACUCUGAUUUGCAGGUUGUCCACCCUAGAGUUCUGAUUAGCUGUCAAGGAAAUGCGUAAAUGCUGCAAACUGUAUUAUAUUUUCACGUCUCAUAUUCUGCAGCAUUUGUAUCUUUGUACGAAUAAGUGUUUUGAUUUGACUCGAUGUGUAUCCGCUUCCUCUGCGCGUGUGUACGUGUUUGAGACAUGUUUUAAUAACUAGCGUCCCACUGCCCAAUCAGGUAACUGCAAACGCGUCACGUGACCUGGGACGAUAGGAGUCAUGUUCCUAUUGGUUAGGAGAAUCCGACUUGAUCGUCCAGUAAUAUUAGUAAAGAAAAUUAUCUAAAACUGGAGAAACGGGAAAGUAAAAGAUUGUUGAAGGUUCCAGUGAUUUGAGAAACCAUGUUUAUGACGUCCAGUUAGAUAAUAAACUAAAAAUACGGCUUAGAUUUUUUUUUUUCGGUUCGUUUCCCAGCUGCUAACACGAAGAUUUUCGUUCGGAAAUUCGUUGCCCGUAAUUGCCAUCACUGUACAGCAGAUAGAAACUACAUUCAUAUGGCUUUGCAGUAAUUUUGCAAAUUAAGUAUUGAUAGACUUUCACAUCUACAAAAAAAAGAACCAAACCCACUAAUGGUAAGCAAUCAACAUAUUUUGUAAAUAAAGUAUAAAUGGACGAAUUUUAUGUAGUGAACUUGAUUGAAUUAUAAAUACAUGUUAAACAUUUUGAAUUGAAAUUAUAUAUUACCAUUUUUUGAUUUACAAAUAUAUAUAUAUAUAUAUAAUAGCAAAUUUCUUCAUACGAAAAUGUACCGUUCAAGACCACGAAUAAAAUCUUUAA
Penaeus vannamei (Pacific white shrimp) is the source of this 1833-nucleotide non-coding RNA. NCBI's taxonomy places the organism in Eukaryota, Metazoa, Arthropoda, Malacostraca, Decapoda, Penaeidae. The record is from RefSeq and is a predicted model, not a curated record.